This 71-nucleotide transfer RNA is filed under the name Vitis vinifera (wine grape). RNAcentral describes it as "transfer RNA-Glu". It matches the Rfam family "tRNA". Rfam says of the family: Transfer RNA (tRNA) molecules are approximately 80 nucleotides in length. Their secondary structure includes four short double-helical elements and three loops (D, anti-codon, and T loops). Further hydrogen bonds mediate the characteristic L-shaped molecular structure. tRNAs have two regions of fundamental functional importance: the anti-codon, which is responsible for specific mRNA codon recognition, and the 3' end, to which the tRNAs corresponding amino acid is attached (by aminoacyl-tRNA synthetases). tRNAs cope with the degeneracy of the genetic code in two manners: having more than one tRNA (with a specific anti-codon) for a particular amino acid; and 'wobble' base-pairing, i.e. permitting non-standard base-pairing at the 3rd anti-codon position. Lineage: Eukaryota; Viridiplantae; Streptophyta; Magnoliopsida; Vitales; Vitaceae. The record is from RNAcentral.
UCCUGUAGCUCAGUUGGUUGAGCGUAAGGCUCUCAACUUUGUGGUCGUGGGUUCGAGCCCCACAGCGGGAG